Raphanus sativus (radish) is the source of this 458-nucleotide long non-coding RNA. RefSeq lists it as uncharacterized. NCBI's taxonomy places the organism in Eukaryota, Viridiplantae, Streptophyta, Magnoliopsida, Brassicales, Brassicaceae. The transcript has 2 exons. The record is from RefSeq and is a predicted model, not a curated record.
AACAACUAACACUUUCAUAUGGUAAAUUUUUGCAGGAGGACAAAAUGCGACAUUUAAAAAGGUUUUGGUUUCUUAGUUUGAUCCUUUUCUGAAACAAGGAUAAAAAGGAUUUGAUUUCUCUUUUUGAUUCAAAUAUAUAAGCAGGUGACUUCAAAUAGACGAGGAGCUUCAUGUUCUCACAUUUUGUUUGACCCUGAACUCCUAGAAAUAGAAGCCUUCAAAAACAAGAUUUGUUUUUCAGGAUACCAAGAAGAGCCUUUUCAUGUGAGUUGCAUAUUAAUUCGAAUUUUAUUUUGGUUAUCAGUUUCUGAAUAAUAAAGCCUUUGCAACGUAUCAUUCAUAUUUUGAUUUGUACCAUUGUUGUUUUUAGCAUUUGAUCUUAAGAUUCUAAUUGAUGAACUAUGUACCGUUUAAAUUAUCUUGCCAGGACUAAACUAUUGAAAGCGUUAUUUUUAGUU